ACGUGUUUUUAAAGCGCUCUGAAAAAAGUUUUGACUUUUUAAUUUUUUUUACUAUGACAGAAUCUUAGUUGACUGAUGGUCUUUGACAAAGACAGACUUGUUUUUGUGAGCUCUGAACAAAAUUUGACUUUGAAAUAUUUUUACGAUUAAAAAGUUUCAGUUGACUUUUGAACGUUGACGAAGACGGACGUACUUUCGUGAGCUCUGACUAUUGAUGAAAAGUUUUCGCGUUAUAGAAUAGCGACUUGGUACUCAGGUUGUUGAAUGACUGGAUGACUGUAGUGUUAGGUUAUUGUUAUGAGAUAACAACUUGACUUUGACUUGAGUUGUGAAAUGAAAUCAUACUCUUAUGCGAUGAUAACUUUUGAACGUUUAGUACUGACUGACAACGAAUUUUUGUGAGCGUUAUAAUAUGAAAUGUUUGACUUACAUUAAUUUUUUUGAACGACUUGACUUCACUUUAAGUUUUGACAUCGGACUGAUCGGACGUGUUUUUUUAAGCCCUGACUGUUGUGAAUAAUUAAAUUUAUGUUGUGGUGUCAAGCGAUUGACUGUCAGUUGAGGUUCAGAUGUCGAGCUGUGCGGACGUGUUCAUCGAGCUGCUGUCUACAAAAAACGUGAGUACAAAUUUUUUUCGUUUUACUGUUUACAAGUUGCGUGAUGAUGUAUGAUGGUUGUAAUGUGUUGGGUAGAAAUUACUCAGUGCUGUUGUAAUGUGUUGGGUAGAAAUUACUCAGUGCUGAUACAGUGUCGAUAUGUUGUGAUGAGCGAUAAUAGUGGAUGAUGGUGGAACAGAAUAUUCAUUGAGCUAUUUUGAGGAAGCGAACAUAUGAUGGAAAAAUGUUGCAAAAAUAUUAAAUGACAAUGUAUUGAAUCGCUUUUGUUGAUAUGUAUGAUAUUGAUUAAAUUGUAUUUGCAUGCUGUAACAUUUCUAUUCCAUUUCAGGGGGCUGUGGUGAGUAUUGUAGUAUAAAUUUGUUUCAAUAAAUCAUGAUGAAUGAAAACUGAUUUCGAUUCGUUUUGUACAGGUUUACUUGUAUAGAAGUGUAAUGCGUUGGGUAGAAAUUAGAAUCUACUCAGUACUGAUAUAGUGUCGAUAUGUUGUGAUUAGCGAUGAUGGUGUAUGAUGGUGGAACAGAACAUGAGCUACUUUGGGGAAACGAACAUAUGAUUGAAAAAUGAUUGCAAACAUAGUAGAUGAAUGAUAUGAUAUUGCUUAAAUUGUAUUUGCAUGCUGUAACAUUUCUAUUCCAUUUCAGUGCACUGUGGUGAGUAUUGACUAUUGUAGUAUAAAUUUGUUUCAAUAAACGAUGAUGAAUGAAAACUGAUUUCGAUUCGUUUUGUGUAAUUUUAGGGAUUUUCACUCUAUAACAACUCUGUCGGUUGGUGUUCAUGAGUGCGAGCUUAAUACAGCAAUGUUUGAGUAGUACAAAAUUGUUUUCGCUUUUGUGGUCGCCAGCUGUCCGUGAUCUGUAAAGUGAAAAUACACAGAGCUAUGAAGCAUAAAAAUGUUUCGAAAUUUUAUCAAUGAUUGUAUACUAUGCAUGUUUUGAUUUAGUUCGUUUCAGAUUUGACAUGAGAUGAAAACCUGACAUGAUUUGAACAGAGCUGGGAAACGAAAAGAUUUUCAGAUGUGUGCUGGCAGUUCAAGUCUGGCAGCUGGAGUGAACAGUCGUGUUUUCUGGAGCUCCAACAAUAUGCUAGAAGGAGUGCUUAUCCAGUGAUGAUAUGACAGUUGGAGUGAACAGUGGAGCCAAGCAGUCUUGUUUUUGGAGCUACUCAACAAGCCUUGAAGGUAAGUUUAGAAUUUCUCAAUGUUAGUGAAUUGAAGUACUGUCACUUGCUUUUGGACAGUCGAACAGAACAGACGUGGUUGCGAGAGCUCUCAUAUCUGUUGUGUUAAACUGUUUUUAUGAUAUGUUAUGUUUGUUUGUUUGUUUGUGAUGUACUAUUUUUCAGAUGCUGAUGGCAGUGAUGGGUUUUCAAGCUGACCUGAACAGAAAAGCACUCAUAUGGUAAGUACAAAAUAGUUGUUAUAUGGGAUGUUUUGUGCAUGCUUUUAUGUUUCAGGUGUACUUGCUGACAGCGACGAAGACGAAUCAAGAAGAGGAACAUUGUUGAGAAAGUGAUUGGGACUUGAAAACAGGGUAAGUGUAACACUUGUGUUUGUUUAAUUUGUAACAUGCGUGCUUUGCUCUGUUUCAGAUUUCACAUGCAGAAAUUAAACAGGAUUUCAACUGCUGAAACACAAUUCAUCACAAGUAAGGUAAGUUUUAAUUCAUUGAUUUGAGUUGUACAAUGUGUUCUUUACUUUAUUUCAGAUUCGAGUCACUGGUUUACACAUGGAAGAAGAUUUCCACGUCGGUUACUCAACUCUACAGAAGCAAGGUAAGUCGAUCAAAUUUUUGUUUUCAUUUGUACUGCUGUAAUGUGAUGGUAAACCUAUGCUAUGUUUCAUGUGUGUCAUGUACAGAUGGAUAAUUCAAGUUUGAUCUGUGUUGGUUUAUGUUCAAAAACGUUUUACAUGUAUGUGUGUUUGAAGAUGUUUUGUUUCAGUGGAUGUCCAGAUGGCAAGCAGAACAGACGUGUUUCUUGGAGCUGCCAAACAGUGAGUACAAACGUUAUAUAUUUUUCAGUUGUUUACUCAUAGAAGUCUGUGAAAGAUGAUAACAAGGGUUGAAUUGCACAGUACUUGUGUCUAAAAAUGCUGAUGUGUGACGGUUUACUGAAAAGGGUAAAUGCUAGCCAGUAACACUUGAGCAACCGUGGGAUGUCGAACUAACUGAUGAUGUACUAUGAUGGUGAACACUUACUAUGUGUAUCGAAAUGCUUUUGUUGUUAUUUAUUAUAGACGAUUUGAUAUUGGUUAACAUUUGUUUGCAUGCUGUUAACAUUUCUAUUUCAUUUCAGUUGGCUGUGGUGAGUAUUGUAGUAUACAUUUGUUUCAAUAAAUCAUGAUGAAUGAAAACUGAUUUCGAUUCUUUUUUACAGUUUUAGGGAUUAUCACUCUAUAACAACUCUGUCGGUUGGUAUUCAUGAGUGUGAGCUUAAUACAGCAAUGUUUGAGUAAUACAAAAAAUGUAUGUACUCUUUUGUGGUCGCCAGUUGUCUGUGAUAUGUAUAGUAAAAAAAACACAACACAAAGCUAUGAAGCAUACAAUUGUUUCAAGAUUUUAUCAAUAAUUGUGUACUGUGCAUGUUUUGAUUUAGUUCGUUUCAGAUAUGACAUGACCUGAAUAUUUGACAGUCGAACAGAGCUGAGCAUUGCAGAAAGGUAAGUGUUUUGUUUGAUAUUUACCAUGCAUACUUUGCUUUGCUCUGUUUCAGAUUCACAUGCAGAAAAGGUCUCAUAGUAGCCUCAACUGUGAAUAAGGAUAUCAACUGCUGUGACUAAACUGUUGAAGAAGGGUAAGUGGAACAAUGUGUUUGUUUUAUAAGUACCAUGUAUGCUUUAUUUUGCUCUGUUUCAGAGUAGACAUACAAACAGUGUCUUGCUUUGCAUGCUAUUUUUCAGGUCUCUCAUGCAGUGAGGGAAAAGAAAAAGAUUUCAAUAAAGAAUCACUGCUGCAACUCAGCUCUUUAAACAAGGUAAGUGUUUACUAUGUUGUAUACAAAAUGUUUCUCUUUCUUACUAUGUUUCAGGUUAACAUUGCAGAGAUGUUUUGACAGCUUGUGACAGAAAAGAAAUUCAGCAGCUGUGUCUUGACUGUAGCCACAAGGUAAGUCGAAACAAAUAUACUGGUUUGUAUGUUGUGUUGUUAUGCCCUUCUAUGUUUCAGACUUACAUUGCUGUGACUGUUCCACAGUGGGUCAAAAAAGAGACGAAUACAGGUUUCAAGAAGAAAAUUGGCUGUUAAAACUCUGCACAAAAUAUGAGGUAAGUGAACUACUCUUUUGGUUUGUGUUGUGCUUUGUUCUGCUUAACUAUUUUUCAGAUUUGAGUGGUGGGUCGUUACAGAGCAGACUUUUUGACAAGUGAGAAAUUGAGAAACAGAGAAUGAUUCAAGAUCAGCUAGGUAAGUCUUGAUUAUUAUGCAUUGCUAAAUGUUGUUUUUCAUUUCAGUAUGGCUGUGGUAAGUACACUAACUUUCUUUAAUUUCCAUAUUGAACUGUUUUUAUGACUUGUAUACUGCUAUGCAAUGCUUAAUGUAUUUUUUAUAUUUCAGUAGCCUGUUGGUUAGUACACUAACUUUCUAUAAUUUCAUAUUGAACUGUUUUGAUGACUUGUAUACUGCUAUGCAAAAUGUCUGUUUUUCACUUCAGUAUCCUGUGGUAAGUACACUAACUUUCUAUAUUUUCAUAUUGAACUGUUUUGAUGACUUGUAUACUACUAUGCAAUGCUUAAUGUUUUUUUCAUUUCAGUAUGGCUGUGGUUAGUACAAUUGCCUUUUUUAUUUUUCAUAUUGAACUGUUUUGAUGAUUUGUAUACUGCUAUGCAUUGCUAAAUGUUUUUGUCAUUUCAGUAUAGCUGUGGUAAGUACACUAACUUUCUUUA
Dreissena polymorpha is the source of this 4494-nucleotide long non-coding RNA. RefSeq lists it as uncharacterized. The transcript has 3 exons. Lineage: Eukaryota; Metazoa; Mollusca; Bivalvia; Myida; Dreissenidae. The record is from RefSeq and is a predicted model, not a curated record.